AGGACGAACGCUGGCGGCGUGCUUAACACAUGCAAGUCGAGCGGAAAGGCCCUUCGGGGUACUCGAGCGGCGAACGGGUGAGUAACACGUGAGUAAUCUGCCCAUCGCUUCAGGAUAGCCAUCGGAAACGGUGAUUAAUACUGGAUAUGACAUUCCUUCGCAUGUUGGGGUGUGGUAAAGUUUUUUCGGCGGUGGAUGUGCUCGCGGCCUAUCAGCUUGUUGGUGGGGUAAUGGCCUACCAAGGCUUUGGACGGGUA
Molecule: ribosomal RNA, 257 nt
Filed under: uncultured soil bacterium
Lineage: Bacteria
Description: partial 16S ribosomal RNA
Rfam family: Bacterial small subunit ribosomal RNA
Source: RNAcentral